AAAUUGAAGAGUUUGAUCAUGGCUCAGAUUGAACGCUGGCGGCAGGCCUAACACAUGCAAGUCGAACGGUAACAGGAAGCAGCUUGCUGCUUCGCUGACGAGUGGCGGACGGGUGAGUAAUGUCUGGGAAACUGCCUGAUGGAGGGGGAUAACUACUGGAAACGGUAGCUAAUACCGCAUAAUGUCGCAAGACCAAAGAGGGGGACCUCGGGCCUCUUGCCAUCGGAUGUGCCCAGAUGGGAUUAGCUUGUUGGUGGGGUAACGGCUCACCAAGGCGACGAUCCCUAGCUGGUCUGAGAGGAUGACCAGCCACACUGGAACUGAGACACGGUCCAGACUCCUACGGGAGGCAGCAGUGGGGAAUAUUGCACAAUGGGCGCAAGCCUGAUGCAGCCAUGCCGCGUGUAUGAAGAAGGCCUUCGGGUUGUAAAGUACUUUCAGCGGGGAGGAAGGGAGUAAAGUUAAUACCUUUGCUCAUUGACGUUACCCGCAGAAGAAGCACCGGCUAACUCCGUGCCAGCAGCCGCGGUAAUACGGAGGGUGCAAGCGUUAAUCGGAAUUACUGGGCGUAAAGCGCACGCAGGCGGUUUGUUAAGUCAGAUGUGAAAUCCCCGGGCUCAACCUGGGAACUGCAUCUGAUACUGGCAAGCUUGAGUCUCGUAGAGGGGGGUAGAAUUCCAGGUGUAGCGGUGAAAUGCGUAGAGAUCUGGAGGAAUACCGGUGGCGAAGGCGGCCCCCUGGACGAAGACUGACGCUCAGGUGCGAAAGCGUGGGGAGCAAACAGGAUUAGAUACCCUGGUAGUCCACGCCGUAAACGAUGUCGACUUGGAGGUUGUGCCCUUGAGGCGUGGCUUCCGGAGCUAACGCGUUAAGUCGACCGCCUGGGGAGUACGGCCGCAAGGUUAAAACUCAAAUGAAUUGACGGGGGCCCGCACAAGCGGUGGAGCAUGUGGUUUAAUUCGAUGCAACGCGAAGAACCUUACCUGGUCUUGACAUCCACGGAAGUUUUCAGAGAUGAGAAUGUGCCUUCGGGAACCGUGAGACAGGUGCUGCAUGGCUGUCGUCAGCUCGUGUUGUGAAAUGUUGGGUUAAGUCCCGCAACGAGCGCAACCCUUAUCCUUUGUUGCCAGCGGUCCGGCCGGGAACUCAAAGGAGACUGCCAGUGAUAAACUGGAGGAAGGUGGGGAUGACGUCAAGUCAUCAUGGCCCUUACGACCAGGGCUACACACGUGCUACAAUGGCGCAUACAAAGAGAAGCGACCUCGCGAGAGCAAGCGGACCUCAUAAAGUGCGUCGUAGUCCGGAUUGGAGUCUGCAACUCGACUCCAUGAAGUCGGAAUCGCUAGUAAUCGUGGAUCAGAAUGCCACGGUGAAUACGUUCCCGGGCCUUGUACACACCGCCCGUCACACCAUGGGAGUGGGUUGCAAAAGAAGUAGGUAGCUUAACCUUCGGGAGGGCGCUUACCACUUUGUGAUUCAUGACUGGGGUGAAGUCGUAACAAGGUAACCGUAGGGGAACCUGCGGUUGGAUCACCUCCUUA
Molecule: ribosomal RNA, 1541 nt
Filed under: Shigella boydii CDC 3083-94
Lineage: Bacteria; Pseudomonadati; Pseudomonadota; Gammaproteobacteria; Enterobacterales; Enterobacteriaceae
Description: Bacterial small subunit ribosomal RNA
Rfam family: Bacterial small subunit ribosomal RNA
Source: Rfam by way of RNAcentral